CAGCGGUCUGCACUGCAGCGCUUCCCGCGGGGAGGGUGAAGGAAGUGCCUUAAAUUUAGCAGUCAUAAGGUCGAGUGACUCUAUGCCUCCAUGGCCUCGAAGUUCUGACAACUCAAUUAAUUUGGUGCGAGGUAUUUGGCUUUACAAAUUUUCUGCAGAAAACACCCGCAAACUGCCCGAGUCAUGAAAACCCAGCAUCAGAAAGCUGCUGGGAUGCAGCGGCCAAACACUCCCACGGACUGCACCUGUAUUUCUGCAGCAUUUGUUCCUCAUCCGGAAGUCACACUUGCAGCAGACUACAAAAAAGCCACCCAAACUUUCUCCAAGAAUAAAGAUAACAUUUACCCCGACCAAUUGUCUGCAGGGGAAAAAAACUUUAGCUGCCUGUCUCAAGCCCUCCCACUUAGCCCAGCUUCAGCUGAAGUGGACACAGCUUGAAGGACAGCCCUAUGGAAAGGAUGCUGGGGUGAAACCAUUCGUCACUGCCCUUGGCGUUAAGUCACCCGGUACUACUCUCUGGCAUUUUGGAAGCUGCUCAGGAUACUUCUACUCUCACACUAAUACAGAACAAAUCCUUUUUUUCCAUUCAACCCUCCCAAGCCUUCCCACGUCAGCCAGCCAGCGGUUGGUGACAGGGUAGGAUGCCAUCUACCUGCCAUCCAGGCUGACAAGAACCUAGCGACAGUAACCGACCCAGGCUACUAUCCCUGUGUCCAGGAAAAGGGAUGUGCAUGCAAAAAGUCUCCUACAGCAAAGCAGGUGGUAUAACAGGUUGAAACAAAGAAUGCAGUCAUAAAGUCAAAUAAAUGAAGACUUGUAAUUUGUCCAUUAA
Long non-coding RNA from Passer domesticus (house sparrow), 832 nucleotides. RefSeq lists it as uncharacterized. The transcript is spliced from 2 exons. Lineage: Eukaryota; Metazoa; Chordata; Aves; Passeriformes; Passeridae. The record is from RefSeq and is a predicted model, not a curated record.